This 449-nucleotide ribosomal RNA is filed under the name uncultured bacterium. RNAcentral's name for it is "partial 16S ribosomal RNA". It matches the Rfam family "Bacterial small subunit ribosomal RNA", at positions 354 to 796 of the family's 1533-position model. The record is from RNAcentral.
GUGGGGAAUAUUGGACAAUGGGCGAAAGCCUGAUCCAGCCAUGCCGCGUGUGUGAAGAAGGUCUUCGGAUUGUAAAGCACUUUAAGUUGGGAGGAAGGGCAGUAAGUUAAUACCUUGCUGUUUUGACGUUACCGACAGAAUAAGCACCGGCUAACUUCGUGCCAGCAGCCGCGGUAAUACGAAGGGUGCAAGCGUUAAUCGGAAUUACUGGGCGUAAAGCGCGCGUAGGUGGUUUUGUAAGUUGGAGGUGAAAUCCCCGGGCUCAACCUGGGAACUGCCUCCAAAACUGCAUGACUAGAGUACGUAGAGGGUAGUGGAAUUUCCUGUGUAGCGGUGAAAUGCGUAGAUAUAGGAAGGAACACCAGUGGCGAAGGCGACUACCUGGACUGAUACUGACACUGAGGUGCGAAAGCGUGGGGAGCAAACAGGAUUAGAUACCCUAGUAGUCC